UGGGGAAUAUUGCACAAUGGAGGGAACUCUGAUGCAGCGACGCCGCGUGAACGAAGAAGGCUUUCGAGUCGUAAAGUUCUUUUAUAUGGGAAGAUAAUGACGGUACCAUAAGAAAAAGCCCCGGCUAACUACGUGCCAGCAGCCGCGGUAAUACGUAGGGGGCUAGCGUUGUCCGGAAUCACUGGGCGUAAAGGGUUCGCAGGCGGAAAUGCAAGUCAGGUGUAAAAGGCAGUAGCUUAACUACUGUAAGCAUUUGAAACUGCAUAUCUUGAGAAGAGUAGAGGUAAGUGGAAUUUUUAGUGUAGCGGUGAAAUGCGUAGAUAUUAGGAGGAAUACCGGUGGCGAAGGCGACUUUCUGGCCAUAUACUGACGCUGAGGUACGAAAGCGUGGGUAGCAAACAGG
RNAcentral lists this ribosomal RNA (403 nucleotides) under Verrucomicrobiota bacterium. RNAcentral describes it as "Verrucomicrobia bacterium partial 16S ribosomal RNA". It matches the Rfam family "Bacterial small subunit ribosomal RNA", at positions 355 to 776 of the family's 1533-position model. Lineage: Bacteria; Pseudomonadati; Verrucomicrobiota. The record is from RNAcentral.